AGUUGAUUUCACUUGUAAAUACUAUUACUCAUUCAAGAAAGAAACACUAGUUUUGUAUAACUUUUUCAGAAGGGACUGGAGUCUAGAAUACUCAAUUAGAUGAUCAACAUUAUACAGACACAUACUUUGUAAGAAGAGGCAAUAAUAGAUCAAUAUCUGUCACAAAUCUUUCUGCAAAAACCUUAAACCAAAUAUUAGCAAAUUGAUUCCAGCAGUAGAUGAAAACAAUAACACACUGGGAUCCAAGAGAGGUUUACAUUAGGAAUCAAGAUUGUUUUAACAAUAAGAUAUCAAUCAAUGUAAUGACCACAUUAACAAAGAGGAAAAUAAUAUGAUCAUCUCAUUUGACAAAAGUGAUCAUACAUUCAUGAAAGAAUCUUUUGGCAAAAUCGAAGGAUUUUUUUUCUCAGUAUGGUAAGAGGCAACUGCUAAACAAUUAUAGCCAAUAUCAUACGUAAUGACGAAGGACCUAAUACUUCUUCCCCUAAGACUGGGAACUCUCAUCACUUGUGUUCAAUAUUGUAUUAGACUUCACAGCUAGUACAGCAAAACAGAAUAAGAAAUAAAGAGAUAAACAUUAGUAGGAAAGAAAUAUAGCUGUCUCCAUUUACAGAUGACGUAAUGGUUUAUAGUGAACACCCUAGGAAAUCUACAAGGAAGUUAUAAGAAAUAAGAUAAUUUGGCAAAGAUACAAAAACAAUGUCAUAUAAAAAUCAACUGUAAACUACCUAUAGACACUUGCAAAAUGCAAUUAAAAAGAUUACCAAAGCAGCAACAACCAAAAAAGUCUUCAAGAUAUUUAAUAAUCUAGUAAUAAAGUGAUUUUACCUUAACAACAAAAAAGCUAUAAAUGAAAUGAAAAUGAGAGAAGACAGAUGCUUGCUAUCACUGUUAUCUAAGUUUUCUGAAUUUAUGGCUAAUUUCAAGCAAAUGAAAUGCACAUGAAUGUAUUAUUUAAAAACAAAGUUAUACUGUUGAGACAGGUUCAACUGACAAGAAACUUCAAGGAACUCAAUAUUCUUGGAACAAAUCUUGAUAUAUGUAGAAAAACCUGGUAUAUAAUAAAAGAAGUUAUCACCAACCAAUGGCAAAGAGCUAAAUUAUGCAGUAAAUGAGUUUGAAAACAAUUUGUUAGAAAAAUAGUGUUAGCUCUUCACCUAAGAAAUGCCUACAUCAUUUAUAGAUUUAAGUGAAAAUAAAGUGACAAAAACUGAAAUAAAAUCUAGGUAAUAUAAAAUGAAAAUUGGAAUGGGAGGGGCCUUUCUAAACAUGAAAAAAACCCCACUAUGAAAUAAUAUUUAAAGGGCAAAAAAGUGUAGUCUUGAUUGCCAAACAGUCACAAACAUAAAAAUGUGUAUAAAUUAUAAAUACAUAUUGUCAACACAAAUAUAUUUAAAUGCACACAUUCCUAUUUACAUAUAUAUACAUUUACAUCUAUGUAGACACGGAAAUGUGUGCUUAUUUAUAUGUAAAUAAUAUUUAAUUCUUAACUCACAGGGUAAAUGAAAACUAUAAAAACAAACAAUGAAUGGGAAAUCUGGGCAAAGUACAGAGAAACACCAAUAUCAAUAUGAAAGUUAUGGAAGAACUUUUAAGACAAAAAUAAUAAUCUUCAAUAAUACUUAAAAAUACAUACUUAAAUCAUAUUUUUAGAAAAUUCCAUUGAAAAUAAUGUAAAGAUUGGUAAUUAUUGACGGCAAAAUGUGUAGCGAGAUUGAACAUCUCACAUACCUCAAUUGGACUAAAUUUUCUGAAAAUCAGUAUGUAGCAAGCAUUCAGUACAAUGUGCAGAUCUCUGAAGGAUAUGUUCUAAAACAUCCACAAAUUUAAGAUUUUUGUGUAGUAUGUAAUUUGCCUCAUUAAUAUGUAUAAAAUAUUAUUAAAUACAUGAAUGACCUUUAAACAUUUUAACAAGAAUAAUUAUACAAAAAGCAAUUAGUAGAGAACAAUAAAGUCAGAUUGAGGAGCAGAGUUGAGGGAGUGGGCUGAAACUCUUACUUUCUCAGAGAACCCUUGUGUUGAUUUAUUUUAUGCAUUUAAAUCUUUGAUCCAUAUGGUUAUUUACAUAGUUAUAAGAUCCAGGAGAAGGGAGAAAAGAAAAUCUGGAGACAAAUAAUUACAAAUUUAUUCUUUGGGAGUUCCCGUCGUGGCGCAGUGGUUAACGAAUCAGACUAGGAACCAUGAGGUUGCGGGUUUGAUCCCUGCCCUUGCUCAGUGGGUUAAGGAUCCUGCGUUGCUGUGAGCUGUGAUGUAGGUUGCAGACAUGGCUCGGAUCCUGCAUUGAUGUGGCUCUGGCUUAGGCCAGUGGCUACAGCUCCGAUUCGACCCCUAGCCUGGAAACCUCCAUAUGCCGCGGGAGCGGCCCAGAAAAAUAGCAAAAAGACAAACAAACAAACAAACAAACAAAAAAACCAAAAACAAAAUUAUUCUUUGAAUAUUCGGGCUGAAUAUUGUGAUGCAGAAAAAUCUUACAAACUAGAGGAAGAGCAAUUAAUUUAUCCUACAGGGAUUGUUGACUUGAGUCAUUGUCCUUCCAUGGUCUGGUCCUGGGUGUGGUCCCCAGUGACAUUUGGCUUUGAAGAAUACUAGGCAGGUUGGCCUGCCCCAUGCUUGUUCUGUCAGUAAGCCCUUUGCACUAAAAUUAGCCAUCUUCCAGUCCCCACAGCCCUCUCUCUCAAGGGCUGGAUGGUAUCUUUGCAAUCAAAUAUCUUGACCUGUAUUUAUAUAUCUAUGACGGCUAUUGGGACAUCUCAAAUGAAAAGCUUCGGGUAAGUGAACCACAGCUGUAUCAUGUAUUUCUUAGGCUUUUUCUCAUUCUUUUGGAGUUGUUUGAUCCUGAAAUUACCCUUUGGAAGGAUACGACAUAGAACAUGAUCUUGGCUGUGCUACUAACUGAUCUCAGAGGGACAGGAGGGAGUGAUGGCUUGAAGCCAGAUCUUAGUUCCUUGCUCAGGAGAGGAACCUGGGCAGCCUGGGUGAAAAUAGGAAUCUUAGCCAUUAGACCACCAGGGGCUAAAGGGUAAAAGCAGAAUUGCCCUGUUUCUUGCCCCCUGUUGAAAGCAAGAAUGUUUCAAGCAGGCAAAGAUGGUAAAAACAGGUCAGAGAUACAGUACAACAAGUAGGAGAGAACACGGGAAGCAGUUUGGAAGCAAAACAGCACAGGAAGAGUAUGGAGCCCCUGCUAGUGGCAAGUAUGCUAAGGGGGUGAUUUAAAUCACUUAUAAAGGGGCAAUUCUCCCUGUCUUUGUUUUCCUUUGGUCAAUUAUCUUGCUUUGUUUCUCACACCUGAUUGAACCCAGGGCCCUCUCUGAUAUGCAUGCAUAUCUUUUAGCCAAGAUGGAUUUCAGAGCAAGGGAAUGUGGGAAGAUUGCCAGGACUUAUUCUGGCCUGUUGCCCCUUCACUUUUUUGAGUCUUUCUGCACAUGUGUAGUUGGGGUCUCCCUGACUCCAAGGAUGGGAAGUAUCUUGAUCUUUUGCCCAAGAAGGGCUUAGCCCCUUUCUGCCCUUGCCAUUAAAGUGUGCACAGCAGGCAAAGUCCAGUUAUUUACCUUCCUCCUGUUUUUAUUUCUAUCUUGAAAUAUAAAUGGGUGGCUGGUUGUAAAUGUCUGUCUUGGAGCCUACCUAUCUCCUGUCUCAAGUAUAAGCAGGAGACUAGUUGUAAAUAUCCUACCCUGGAGUCCAUCUAUCUCCUGUCUCAUAACCUUGAGAAUUUAGCAUGUUAUUUCACUUCUCUGGGCCUCAACUCCAUUAGAGUGACUUUGUAUAAGAGUCUAAGACCAUUUUCCCUACUACGGUCCCUUUACUUUUAGGAUGAGGAAUAAGAUUUAAAAUUAUACUAUUUCCUCUUUAAAUAGCAAUUCGAGUUCACUUAACUAGAAUAGUUAAACAGAAGUUUUUAAGUAUCUGUAAUUCUACUGGCCAAAGAAAAUUCACAAAUUUAAAAUUUUUACUUAUAUAGGACAUUGAAAUGCCACAGCUAGGAAGUACUAAUUCCUGUUUGAUUUCCUCACUCCUUUGCUUAUAAACUCCAUUUAAAAUAGGAACUUGUCAACCUCACAUUUACCUGAUAUUGGGUUACAAUCUGUCCUCUAUCUACUUUUCCUGUAUUAUCUCUUAGCACUAUUUCUAUUACAAGCAAGAUAUUCUGACUUCAUCCAGACAUUCCCUCUACUGUCUCAUUUCCAUAUAUUUUCUUAAUCUGUCCCUUCCCUCUGAAAUGUAUCACUUCUGUCCGCACCUGUUUCUGAGUUAAAAAUACUUUCUAAAUUUCAAGAUAAAUCUACCAUUUAUUUACAUUCAAGAUAUUGUUAUGUAGUAGUCAUCUAGGCAGUAGGCUAAAAGCUUUCUAUGUAUUGCCUAAUUUCUUGUCGAAACCAACCCUACAGGAUGGAUGCUAUUAUCCUCAUUUUACAGUUUUGAAAACUGCAAAGUAGUCAUCCUUGCCCACAUUAUACAGAUUAAAUUCAGAGCAAUUAAGCCACUUUAAUCAGGAGUUCACAGUUAAUGGAUCCCAAAGCCAAGGUCUCUACUGGUGAUCCUGAGAACAUACUCUCUAUCAAAGCUUGCUUUUAUAGUGUUAGCAAAAGUUAUGGCUAAUGAGCAUCCGUUAGCAUCUGGAAGUAGAGAUCCUGAAAUGAAUGAAACAUACUCCUGCCCUUGAGGUCUCACAGCUGCUUAUUCCUCCAAGGAAAAGAAAACUUUUCUCUCCCAAUAGCACUGUAUCUAUAAUUUUUUAGAGAAAUCACAUUUGAAAUUUAUUUUUAAUUUUUAGUUUAUUCUUAAUUUACAAAGUGUAAUCUAAAAUAAUGGAAAAGAAGGUAGAGAUCUUAAAUAUAACUUAUCCACUAUUUUUGUUGUUGCAUUUUCUCCCUGCUUACACAAAAUAUUUUGAGACUGAAUGAUCACUGAAUUGGAUUGAAUGGAAAAUUCACACAUUUAUGUACAGAAUUAUACCUAAAAAUACGUGUUGAAGAACAACUUCCUAUGUUAAUUUAAAAAUCUAGAAUUUAUAUUUACAUUUCCAGCUAUAAGAUAUAUAACAGUGACAUUUCCACCAAGUCUAAGGAAAGGUUUCAGGUAUGAUGAACUAGGGUAAACUCCCUUUCCUAUCUUAAGCUCAUCUGUAACAGAGAAUCUGCUUAAAAACAUACAGAGGGAAGUUUCCGUCGUGGCGCAGUGAAAACGAAUCUGACUAGGAAUCAUGAACUUGCAGGUUCGAUCCCUGGCCUCGCUUGGCGGGUUAGGGAUCCAGCGUUGCCGUGAGCUGUGUUGUAGGUCACAGAUGCUGCUCGGAUCUGGCGUGGCUAUGGCUGUGGCUGUGGCCGGCAGCAACAGCUCUGAUUAGAACCCUAGCCUAGGCACCUCCACAUGCCGCUGGUGUGGCCCUAAAAGGAC
RNAcentral lists this long non-coding RNA (5394 nucleotides) under Sus scrofa (pig). RNAcentral describes it as "lncRNA (ENSSSCG00000056850.1)". The record is from RNAcentral. Lineage: Eukaryota; Metazoa; Chordata; Mammalia; Artiodactyla; Suidae.